Pelobates cultripes (western spadefoot toad) is the source of this 358-nucleotide non-coding RNA. The record is from the annotation of a GenBank genome assembly. Lineage: Eukaryota; Metazoa; Chordata; Amphibia; Anura; Pelobatidae.
CAAAGGUUGAGAAACCAGGUUAUAGUGUACUGAUCACAGCCAGCUCUGGCCCACCACCAUUGGAAUUAUAAGAAAAAAAUGUAUUGCCCACUUAGCCAAUAAAUGGACAUAAGCAAUCAGCUGUCGUCUAUGCCUUAGCAUAGUUUCCAAACAAAACUGGAAUUUUUCAAUAGGUUGAUAUUUUAUAUCAUGAAAAAAAAAUCAAGAAUGGGUAUAGUUAACAUUGUGGUAGAUAACAACACACUAGAUAAAAAGAUACAGGACAUAGGACAAUCAUUGACCAUUGAUAGAAUAUAGAAUCCAGAGAUAAAAUGGGGCAAUCUCUUCUUUCUGUUUUCGUUUAAUCUCAUUUCUGUUG